RNAcentral lists this ribosomal RNA (1447 nucleotides) under Ceraesignum maximum. Its description in RNAcentral is "large subunit ribosomal RNA". It matches the Rfam family "Bacterial large subunit ribosomal RNA", at positions 467 to 2747 of the family's 2925-position model. Lineage: Eukaryota; Metazoa; Mollusca; Gastropoda; Littorinimorpha; Vermetidae. The record is from RNAcentral.
ACAUAAAUUAUUGUGGUUCAAUAGUGUACUGGGAGAACGAAGAGCGGGAGGCGCUCCGUUUAAUGUUUAGGGAUAAAGUUAGAAGAAGUACUGAAAAGGAAUGAUUGAGUUUGGUGAAGGAAGAUAAAUAAGUAGUGAUGUGUUCGCGUACCUUUUGCAUCAUGGUUUAGCUAGUGGAUUCAUCAGAUUGGUGGUUCUCGAAAUUUAACGAGCUUCCAAUGCCCAGUGAGGCGGAUUGUUUUUAGGCUUUCUAGUUUUAAGUGUGGCAAAACUUUGAUAGGAGGUAUUGGAAGAGGUGAGAUUCCUUUCGUGUUAAAUGAUAGCUAGUUUCUUUAGAGGGGUGUCUAAGCACUAAGGUCAUGGGGCAGGAACGCUUUAGAGGGCGUAGUAAAAUCUAUUACGGUUAAGUAGAUAGGUACUACUGUAGAUGGCUAUUCGUGCACUGAAAGAUAAGUUUCGGUGUAGAAAAUGGGAAUGUAUCAGUAUUAUAGAUGAGGAAGAUGGCUGCGCUUAAAGUUGGCGAUGUUAAUGCAGUUUGUUAUAAAAAGAUCGAAAGCGUUUAGGAAAAGAAAUAAGUGUGAUUGUUAGGAAGUAUAGAGAUAUUAGUAGAGGAUUGUAAGACUUACAAGAGAUAAUGCUAGAAUGAGUAUUAGAAGGACAGUAGCAGGAUGGGUGGUGUCUAAGAUAAGUGUGAUACGUGAUGACCCUGGAAAGUCGCUUAAAAUAGCUGUUCGUUUUUAAAUUGAAGUCGGGUGAAGGAAUUCGGCAAAUACUCUCCUCGCCUGUUUAGCAAAAACAUGGCUCCUUGUAAGAGGAUAAGGAGUCGGACCUGCCCAGUGAUAGAGGAAUAUUAAAUGGCCGCGGUACUUUGACCGUGCGAAGGUAGCGUAAUCACUUGCCUUUUAAUUGGAGGCUGGUAUGAAUGGUUUGACGGAGGAGGUUCUGUCUCCACCUGAGGGGUAGAAAUUGAUUUUUAGGUGAAAAAGCCUAGAUGGAAUAAAAAGACGAGAAGACCCUGUCGAGCUUUAAUGUUUGGGCUGAGUUAGAUGAAAGGUUGUAGAUAUAUAGUUUCAGCUUGGUGUUUUAGUUGGGGCGACCGGGGAAUGUUAAAGAGCUUCCCUUAGUUAAAACAAAGAAGUACGGUUGAUGAUCCAGAAGGGGUUCUGAUUAAAGGGAAAGUUACCGCAGGGAUAACAGCAUAAUCCCUCUUGAGAGUCCGAAUUGAAAGGGGGGCUUGUGACCUCGAUGUUGGACUAAAGUGUCCUGGGGGUGUAGCAGCUCCCGAGGGUUGGUCUGUUCGACCAUUAAAACUUUACAUGAUCUGAGUUCAGACCGGCGUGAGCCAGGUCAGUUUCUAUCUUUUAUUUGUGUUUCUGAGCUUAGUACGAAAGGACCAGCUUAGGCAAAAGAUUUGAGUAGUUGUGAGUGAAUAAAGUGGAGAGUGAUA